CGCGCUAUAGGGUUGGCCGAUGGCUGAUUAGCUAGUUGGUGGGGUAAAGGCCUACCAAGGCGACGAUCAGUAGCUGGUCUGAGAGGACGACCAGCCACACUGGGACUGAGACACGGCCCAGACUCCUACGGGAGGCAGCAGUGGGGAAUUUUGGACAAUGGGCGAAAGCCUGAUCCAGCAAUUGCCGCGUGUGUGAAGAAGGCCUUCGGGUUGUAAAGCACUUUUGUCCGGAAAGAAAUCCUUGGCUCUAAUACAGUCGGGGGAUGACGGUACCGGAAGAAUAAGCACCGGCUAACUACGUGCCAGCAGCCGCGGUAAUACGUAGGGUGCGAGCGUUAAUCGGAAUUACUGGGCGUAAAGCGUGCGCAGGCGGUCUGUUAAGACAGAUGUGAAAUCCCCGGGCUCAACCUGGGAACUGCAUUUGUGACUGGCAGGCUAGAGUAUGG
RNAcentral lists this ribosomal RNA (446 nucleotides) under uncultured bacterium. Its description in RNAcentral is "bacterial SSU rRNA". It matches the Rfam family "Bacterial small subunit ribosomal RNA", at positions 214 to 651 of the family's 1533-position model. The record is from RNAcentral.